RNAcentral lists this RNase P RNA (386 nucleotides) under Candidatus Pelagibacteraceae bacterium. Its description in RNAcentral is "RNase P RNA component class A". It matches the Rfam family "Bacterial RNase P class A". From Rfam's summary of the family: Ribonuclease P (RNase P) is a ubiquitous endoribonuclease, found in archaea, bacteria and eukarya as well as chloroplasts and mitochondria. Its best characterised activity is the generation of mature 5'-ends of tRNAs by cleaving the 5'-leader elements of precursor-tRNAs. Lineage: Bacteria; Pseudomonadati; Pseudomonadota; Alphaproteobacteria; Candidatus Pelagibacterales; Candidatus Pelagibacteraceae. The record is from RNAcentral.
CCAGAUAAUUGGAUGACUGCUUUCUAUGAAAGAGGAAAGUCCGGGCUCCACAAGACGAUGGUGCCGGGUAAUGCCCGGCGGGGGUGACCCUAGGGAAAGUGCCGCAGAAAAUAAACCGCCCUAAUUGAAAUUACUGAGGGUAAGGGUGAAAAGGUGAGGUAAGAGCUCACCGCUUUUUUGGUAACAAAAAAGGCAUGGUAAACCCCAUUAGGAGCAAGAUCAAAAAGAGGUGUGUGUUUUUUUGAGUCUUCACAUUUGCACCCGGGUAGAUCGCUUGAGAUAAUUGGCAACAAUUAUCCUAGAUGAAUAGUCAUUAGUUAAUACUUUAAAAGAUUCGAAGUUUUAUUGUAUUAAUCACAGAACCCGGCUUAUAACCAUCUGGUUAU